RNAcentral lists this transfer RNA (69 nucleotides) under Ictidomys tridecemlineatus (thirteen-lined ground squirrel). RNAcentral describes it as "Spermophilus tridecemlineatus (thirteen-lined ground squirrel) tRNA". It matches the Rfam family "tRNA". Rfam says of the family: Transfer RNA (tRNA) molecules are approximately 80 nucleotides in length. Their secondary structure includes four short double-helical elements and three loops (D, anti-codon, and T loops). Lineage: Eukaryota; Metazoa; Chordata; Mammalia; Rodentia; Sciuridae. The record is from Rfam by way of RNAcentral.
GGGGUUGUGGCUCAGCAGUAGAGCACUCACCUUGCACGUGUGGGACGAUGGGUUUGACCCUCAGCACCA